Molecule: long non-coding RNA, 1971 nt
Filed under: Sus scrofa (pig)
Lineage: Eukaryota; Metazoa; Chordata; Mammalia; Artiodactyla; Suidae
Description: lncRNA (ENSSSCG00015071969.1)
Source: RNAcentral
UUCCAGAUUUCCAAAAGGUUAGAGAGACAGGCCGGCGUGUGGGCACCCUUCCCCAGAGGACCGCCUCUGAGCGCCACCUGGCCUGCGGGUCCUCAGGCCUCCCAGGACCCUGGCCCCGGCAGGCGCCUCUGAGGCGCACCCGUCUUCCCGUCACAGUUUGUCCCUCGGGCCCGGCUGGCCUGCGUGUUCUCACUACACUGAGGUGAUGCCGUCCUGCCAAGAAAACCGCAGAAGUGACCCUGCACCUUCUCGGGGCGUCAGGUGGCGGGGGUAGGGCCGUGGGGACCACGCCGACCCCUCACUGCUGAGCAGGUGCCUGCAGGGCGGCCUCCAGACCAGCGAAGCUGCUGCACAGCACAUGCCCCCAUCCCAGGCCACCGACACUCCCGGGCUUGCAGGUGGCGUCUCCUGCCCCCAGGCUGGCGGGAACCCAGAGGGGCUGCCCUUCCCGCACCGAGGCUCUUAGUUACUCGCUUCCAUCAGCACGGACUCCUGGACAGGAGUUUAUUUUGUGGGCUAUACCCCGUUUCCGCCACUUAUUCUGUGCCAAUGGGAGCUCCGAGACCUGUUCUUCAAGAAGCCCCGUCACGUUUCAGCCAUUCCUUCCCCCACCCCUUUUUUUUUUGGUGGGGGGGUCUUUUGUCUUUUAGGGCGGCACCUAUGCCAUGGGUGCGGCCCUAAAAAAAAUGAAAAGAAAAUACAAAAUAUGUUCGUGAUUCAGGUAACCAAAAACCAAGACUUUUCAUAAACUAACUAAAAAUACGGAAAAAACGUGCAGCACAAUUGGAAGCGUGAGGCAGAGCACGGCUGAGGAGUGACAGACGGAGUGCUUGGCGCUGAACCACCAACGGGGCAGCGGUGCUAGGUGAGGGGGCCCCUCCGCCCCCGGAAAUGGGACCAGGACUGUCGGGGAGGGCGUGACCCCGUACGGCCUCCACCGAAGGACGCGGACAGCGCCUGGACGCAGCCAAGGAGCAGCGCUUCCCAGAGCCCAGCCUGGUCACCAGGCAGAAGCGGAGCUCGGGCUGGCUGUCCCCACCAGCCAUGGCCGGCCCCUGUCCCAGCGGGGACGACCCGGAUCCUCCCACCACCACCUCCCACUGGCCUCGUCCAGGCAAACAGGCCUCACCCUCGGGCACGGCGCCCUGCUGUGGUUCUGAGCCCACGCGGCGUCACCCCAGACACUCGCUGCAGGUCUGCACACCCGUGACGUCUGUUCUGACGGCGCUCCGGGCAGUGGGCAGCGGGCACGGGCUGCUGCAGCGCUGGCCGGAGGCUCACGAGCAUCCUCAAAGGCCUGGGAGGUCACGUGUGCAAAACGACUGACCCACGGAGACAUUCUGUUUCUCAGCGACAGCAAAUGCGUUCUUGGAACCAACCCAACAUCUAGUUUUACAAAUACGGUCUGAUAUGAACCAGAAAACGAGCCUUGAUCAGACAGAUACUCGGUGCCAGGCGUCACCAUAAAAAAAAUCGAGACGUCAGAUACGUCAAAAGCCCAUUUCCCACUUCUGGGCUCGUCCUCUGUUCUCGUUAAAAAAAGGAGGUGAGGGGCACUUGUGUCUGCGUCCAAGAUACGAAGAGGAACCCGAGUGCUGGGGGACGACUUCCCGACGACCCGUGUGCCCAACGACGACACUGCGACCCUUUCGCAUGUCACACAGAAGACGCGCUGAGACCGCGACACGAACCAGCACCCCCAGGAGCCCGAGCUGACCAGUCACUGGGCGCACGCCACACGGCAGCCACCUCCGCGGGGGCCCGUCACACCCGCGACUUCAGACGCACCCAACGCCGCGGGGUCGGCAGGGCUGUGGCGGGGCGACGGGUUUCCGACAUCCUCGGGAGCGUCGAAGACCAGCUCCUGCCCGGCCACGAGCUGCGUCCUCGGGGAGGGGCGUCCGUUCUGACUUCCAGCGGCAUCUGGCGGGCGCCCCCAGAGCCCCCCCACCCCGAGCCGUGGUACCAACA